AUUGAACGCUGGCGGAAUGCUUUACACAUGCAAGUCGAGCGGCAGCGCGGGGGCAACCCUGGCGGCGAGCGGCGAACGGGUGAGUAAUACAUCGGAACGUGUCCUUGAGUGGGGGAUAGCUCGGCGAAAGCCGGAUUAAUACCGCAUAAGCUCUGCGGAGGAAAGCGGGGGACUGGUAACGGCCUCGCGCUGUUGGAGCGGCCGAUGUCGGAUUAGCUAGUUGGUGGGGUAAAGGCCCACCAAGGCGACGAUCCGUAGCUGGUCUGAGAGGAUGAUCAGCCAC
This 283-nucleotide ribosomal RNA is filed under the name uncultured bacterium. RNAcentral describes it as "partial 16S ribosomal RNA". It matches the Rfam family "Bacterial small subunit ribosomal RNA", at positions 30 to 311 of the family's 1533-position model. The record is from RNAcentral.